This 253-nucleotide ribosomal RNA is filed under the name uncultured bacterium. Its description in RNAcentral is "partial 16S ribosomal RNA". It matches the Rfam family "Bacterial small subunit ribosomal RNA", at positions 524 to 776 of the family's 1533-position model. The record is from RNAcentral.
UACGUAGGGUGCAAGCGUUAAUCGGAAUUACUGGGCGUAAAGCGUGCGCAGGCGGUUCGUUGUGUCGGCGGUGAAAGCCCCGGGCUCCAACCUGGGAAUGGCCGUUGAAACUGGCGAACUGGAGUGUGGCAGAGGGGGUGGAAUUUCGCGUGUAGCAGUGAAAUGCGUAGAUAUGACGGAGAACACCGAUGGCGAAGGCAAUCCCCUGGGCCUGCACUGACGCUCAUGCACGAAAGCGUGGGGAGCAAACAGG